AACGAACGCUGGCGGCAUGCCUAACACAUGCAAGUCGAACGGGACGUUCGGGUCUAGGGGCGCACGGGUGCGUACCGCGUGGGAACCUGCCCUUAGGUUCGGUAUCCCUCCCCGAGAGGGGAGCUAAUACCGGAUGAUGUCUUCGGACCAAAGAUUUAUCGCUUUUGGAUGGGCCCGCGUUAGAUUAGCUAGUUGGUAGGGUAAAAGCAUACCAAGGCCACGAUCCAUAGCUGGUGUGAGAGGAUGAUCAGCCACACUGGGACUGAGACACGGCCCAGAACCCGACGGGAGGCAGCAGUGUGGAAUAUUGGACAAGGGGCGAAAGCCUGACACAGCCACGCCGCGGGUGUGAUGAAGGCCUUAGGGUUGUAAAGCUCUUUUACCCGGGAUGAUAAUGACAGUACCGGGAGAAUAAGCUCCGGCUAACUCCGUG
Molecule: ribosomal RNA, 433 nt
Filed under: uncultured bacterium
Lineage: Bacteria
Description: partial 16S ribosomal RNA
Rfam family: Bacterial small subunit ribosomal RNA
Source: RNAcentral